CGAACCCCCACUUCGAAUCGUUGAACACAUACCUGCAACAAAAUAGCAAUACAGUCUUGACGUUCGCCCUCAUAUCACAAUAUCAGUCACCUUUAAUCUGCUGUUUUUCUCUUUGUAAUUACACUCAUUUUGCAAUAAUUAACUUGUAGGUUUACAGUAUUAAGAAAAUUGAUGAAAUAUCAUUGAACUGACUGCAGAUACGCAUUGAAUCACUCAAUAACGAUUUUCACAUCUCAAUAUUGCUUGCAUCUAAUGGAAAAUGAUGAAAAAUUGAUCUUAAGAUAAAAUAAACUACAAAAUGUUGGAUUAUUAUUAUUGAAUAUCUUCGUAUCCAUCAGACCAAUUACUCCAGAGACAGCUUGAUUGUUUCGUACGCACGCAAUGUUCAACAUAAGCACUCGAGUUCAUCCAUUUUGCACGUGAUCCUGUGAAUACAAUUUUAUGACGAUUAUCCUGCAAGAUGUCUCACUCUAUUUCAGCCAUUACUAGGAACUUUCAAGGAUGUCUGGAUGCAUUUAUUUUUUCUUAGACAUUUGUUGGUUCACAUUAACAACACUAAAAUUAAAAUAAAACGAUAUAAAAAUAAUAUUUUGAUACCUGUCAUAUGCUGGCGAUGUUGGAGAUCAGACAAAAUUUUAUCUUAAGUCAAGCAAUCAUUAUUGGAAUAAUGCACUAAUCGACCUAUAACUCUCCAAAAAUGAAGAAGACCUUCAAGCUCUUCAUCUGUGGUAACAACUCCCAAUUUCUUUCCACUUAAAAGAGUAAAUCCAAUAAAUCCAAAUUGAGUGAGUGCCAUGUCCAGUUGAGAGAUUCGACUUAUUCCAGCUUCAUAACUGCGUCUGGAGGCCACACAAUGCUUUCUUCGAACAUUCUUCAAGGAUGUGAAGAAUCUGCAAUCCAUUGGAAGAUUUUCUUAGAACAAUCCAAGGCCACCACACUGUUGGAAGCUUUUUCUCAUUGUAACUUUAUUAUAAUAAAAGCCAUUCGAUGAUGAGCCAUAAGUUUAUUAAUAAUAUUUGUUCAGCAUUUGAUUUUUAAGUUUUAAAAAUAAACAGAUGAUCAGAAAGAUUUAUAAUCUAAUCGAGACGUCUAAACUCUGACGUACGAAAUGAUGUCAAUGAACUGUCGAAAUUCAUUUAGUCUACAUAUAAGAUAUUUCUAGCUCUGUGUUGCAAAAAAAAAACCGUCUUGAGGAAAUGGCUGUGUGUUAAAUAGCAAUAAAACAUGACGUGAUGAGUUUUUUGAGUAUUAUCAUUAAGAUUUUUAUACCAAAUACACGUGUGAAGUAUCGUUGAUGCGUAUCUUCGGAAAGCUGUGCAAGGAGUACCACUUUGUUUGGUGAAUUUUAAAAUUGCAAGGACUGAAGGUACUGCUAAUAAAAUAAGUAGUCCUGAUAAUUUAGCUACCAUCAUCGUAAAAAAAUUAUUCCUGAAGACAUCUUGACCAGUUCGAAAUUUUAUUGGGUCAUAAUAUUCUGGUAAUGUUAUCAUUGGAUCGUCUGCGUCAGCUGGUAUUUUUGCACCUUCUUCCAGAAGCAUCCGAAAUUUCUGUUCAACUGGAUCAUUUUCUAGAAAAUAAUUUUAUUGUUCAUUAAACAGCAUUGUUGAUAAAAAAUUGAUGCGAGUUUAUGUAGCAGAUGAUUAUUGGAGAUCAGAAGCAUCAUGCUGAUCAAUAUAACAGUCAUGUUAUGUGAUAAAUCAGAACUUUAGUAUUCUACAAGAUACAUUUAAUCUACAUCUGUGGAUGGUACGACCUAUGAAUGACCAAAUAAGUGAUAAUCUUAUAUGUACACUUUCAUCAUCAACAUUACAAGUUGUUCCAAUGCCUGCACGUUUACAUGGUGUUACAUCGAAUUUUUGUAUGAGAAAGGAAUUUUGAACAGCCUACACUUCCAAUUUUCUAUCAUGACUUUUUUUCUUUAAAUGAAAGGAAAUUUGUUAACUUUAAGUAUGUAUUUGUUGUAAUUAUAUUCUAGAAUUGAAAAGUAACCGGGCAAAUAACAUGUUAGUAUUUAUUAUUGAUUUAUUCAGAAUUAGAAAAAAAAUAGAACGGUGGGUGAUCAUUGAAGAUAAAUUAACUCAACUAUAACAUUAUAGAAAGUAAGUCGAGGCCAUUAAGUGUUGAUACCGGUACUUUCGUUAGAAGCUGACCAGAGAUGUCGAAUACAUAGGUUUUUCCAAUAUUAUAAAGUUGAAGAAAUCAAGUUUUAAUAUGAAUAUUGUCGUUACAUGCUAAUAUAAAAUGUCAAAAAUAUUUUUUAAUUUAACUUGAUGUUAGUAUUAAGCAAAUAAUUAAUGUGUACUAGUCGAAUUCCAUAGAAGAGGAGUGUACAUGCGACUUUAAAAGUCUGUAUCAUCGUCUUAAAAUGGAAAAAAUUUUUUGAGUUAAA
This is a long non-coding RNA of Chelonus insularis, 2389 nucleotides long. RefSeq lists it as uncharacterized. The record is from RefSeq and is a predicted model, not a curated record. Lineage: Eukaryota; Metazoa; Arthropoda; Insecta; Hymenoptera; Braconidae. The transcript has 7 exons.